GCACAAGCGGUGGAGCAUGUGGUUUAAUUCGAAGCAACGCGAAGAACCUUACCAAAUCUUGACAUCCUCUGACCCCUCUAGAGAUAGAGUUUUCCCCUUCGGGGGACAGAGUGACAGGUGGUGCAUGGUUGUCGUCAGCUCGUGUCGUGAGAUGUUGGGUUAAGUCCCGCAACGAGCGCAACCCUUAAGCUUAGUUGCCAUCAUUAAGUUGGGCACUCUAAGUUGACUGCCGGUGACAAACUGGAGGAAGGUGGGGAUGACGUCAAAUCAUCAUGCCCCUUAUGAUCUGGGCUACACACGUGCUACAAUGGACAAUACAAAGGGUAGCGAAACCGCGAGGUCAAGCAAAUCCCAUAAAGUUGUUCUCAGUUCGGAUUGUAGUCUGCAACUCGACUACAUGAAGCUGGAAUCGCUAGUAAUCGUAGAUCAGCAUGCUACGGUGAAUACGUUCCCGGGC
RNAcentral lists this ribosomal RNA (457 nucleotides) under uncultured bacterium. RNAcentral describes it as "bacterial SSU rRNA". It matches the Rfam family "Bacterial small subunit ribosomal RNA", at positions 923 to 1379 of the family's 1533-position model. The record is from RNAcentral.